GGGAAUGUAGCUCAGUGGUAGAGUGCUUGCCUGGUGUUCAAGAAUCCCUGAGUUUAAUCCCCAGCACCA
Molecule: non-coding RNA, 69 nt
Organism: Ictidomys tridecemlineatus (thirteen-lined ground squirrel)
Lineage: Eukaryota; Metazoa; Chordata; Mammalia; Rodentia; Sciuridae
Source: Rfam